RNAcentral lists this ribosomal RNA (406 nucleotides) under uncultured bacterium. Its description in RNAcentral is "partial 16S ribosomal RNA". It matches the Rfam family "Bacterial small subunit ribosomal RNA", at positions 30 to 526 of the family's 1533-position model. The record is from RNAcentral.
AUUGAACGCUGGCGGCAGGCCUAACACAUGCAAGUCGAACGCGUGGCGGACGGGUGAGUAAUGUCUGGGAAACUGCCCGAUGGGGGGGGAUAAUUACUGGAAAAGGUAGCUAAUACCGCAUAUCAUCGGAUGUGCCCAGAUGGGAUUAGCUAGUAGGGGGGGUAACGGCUCACCUAGGCGCCGAUCCCUAGCUGGGCUGGGAGGAUGACCAGCAAUACUGGAACUGAGACACGGUCCAGACUCCUACGGGAGGCAGCAGUGGGGAAUAUUGCACAAUGGGCGCAAGCCUGAUGCAGCCAUGCCGCGUGUAUGAAGAAGGCCUUCGGGUUGUAAAGUACUUUCAGCGAGGAGGCGUUACUCGCAGAAGAAGCACCGGCUAACUCCGUGCCAGCAGCCGCGGUAAUAC